GAGGAGCCAAUUGUGCCUUAACAAGACCCUGAACAGCUUCACCUGGACCUGGGUGGAGCAGCCUCAUCCCCUGCCUGGGUGGGGUCUAUAUAAAUUCAGCCUGGGGGAGGCUCCUGCUUUUUCCUGGGAGCAAUGUGAUGGGUUCCUCUUCCUUGAGGUUUGAGCUCUGUAAAUGGCCUAGGUGAGAAAGUGGUACGUUCAUUUGUUCUGAAGAUUUUCCAGAAGCAGAGUCCGAAGGAACUAACCUUAUUUCAUGAACAAAGUUGGCCAACGUAAAUAUUUGCAGAGUUCAAAGUGAACACAAGGAAGCAACUUUCAAUGAAAUAUGUUCUUUUCAUGAAGCAAAAUUACGUGAAUAACAGUCAUUUUCCCAGAAGAAAAAUUGACUGAGAGCCAUUAAAUGCAAAAACACCACCUGAAGCUCAAGGAGUUCCUUAGCUUCAGACUGAUGCAAGCUGAAUGAUUUUCCUGGCAGCUCACCCAUCAUCUUCCCAGAAAAACAUCUGCAACCUGCUGAGCCCAAGGCUGUAGGAUCUGAAACCCUUUUCACAGUGUCUGAUUGGUUGAGGGGCUGGAGAGGAUGCCUGUGCAGCUCAGAGUUUCUCUGCCUUGUGAGC
This is a long non-coding RNA of Cygnus olor (mute swan), 617 nucleotides long. RefSeq lists it as uncharacterized. The transcript has 4 exons. NCBI's taxonomy places the organism in Eukaryota, Metazoa, Chordata, Aves, Anseriformes, Anatidae. The record is from RefSeq and is a predicted model, not a curated record.